ACGCACGCUGGCGGCGUGCUUCACACAUGCAAGUCGCACGGAAAGGCCCUGCUUUUGUGGGGUGCUCGAGUGGCGAACGGGUGAGUAACACGUGAGUAACCUGCCCUUGACUUUGGGAUAACUUCAGGAAACUGGGGCUAAUACCGGAUAGGAGCUCCUGCUGCAUGGUGGGGGUUGGAAAGUUUCGGCGGUUGGGGAUGGACUCGCGGCUUAUCAGCUUGUUGGUGGGGUAGCGGCUUACCAAGGCUUUGACGGGUAGCCGGCCUGAGAGGGUGACCGGCCACAUUGGGACUGAGAUACGGCCCAGACUCCUACGGGAGGCAGCAGUGGGGAAUAUUGCACAAUGGGCGGAAGCCUGAUGCAGCAACGCCGCGUGCGGGAUGACGGCCUUCGGGUUGUAAACCGCUUUCGCCUGUGACGAAGCGUGAGUGACGGUAAUGGGUAAAGAAGCACCGGCUAACUACGUG
This 467-nucleotide ribosomal RNA is filed under the name uncultured bacterium. RNAcentral's name for it is "partial 16S ribosomal RNA". It matches the Rfam family "Bacterial small subunit ribosomal RNA", at positions 29 to 507 of the family's 1533-position model. The record is from RNAcentral.